Molecule: non-coding RNA, 73 nt
Organism: Chytriomyces cf. hyalinus JEL632
Lineage: Eukaryota; Fungi; Chytridiomycota; Chytridiomycetes; Chytridiales; Chytriomycetaceae
Source: the annotation of a GenBank genome assembly
GGUUGCUUAGUGUAGUGGUUAUCACGUUUCCUUUACACGGAAAAGGCCGCGAGUUCGAACCUCGCAGUGACCA